CAACUUUCCUGACUAAACACUAUACACUAAUGUUUUUUAUGUUCCAUUUUAUAGGCAAGUGGGGUAAACUGUUCUGGGACCGAUAACGCUGUUUUGAAGUUUGGAGGAUUCUGAUGAUGUAGAUGAGUCGCUUCUGAAACUGGUGUGGGCAACAGCGGGAAACACAGACCUUCAGAUUGCUCACUGCACAGGAAGUGGUGAUAGAGGUAGUUCCCCAAGUCCUGUGGGGAUCCUGGGACCUUGACAUCCCAGAGUCAGUUCAAAAGCUCCACUAGUAUUACAAGGGCCACUUAGUAUCAAGUCUCCAAAACUCUCACAGCAAUGGAAAGCUAGGCCAUCUUCUCCUGCUCCAACAGAGACAUGACAUCCUGAGAGAAAUAAGAGAAAUAAACCAACAAGACAUUCUGCUCACUACAAUUGCUGAUUGCAAAGAACAACAAAAUCUUUCGCCCCCAGAUCCCCAAAAAGCCAGAUCAUAUGGCACCUGCUGCUCAAAGACUGGCAAAGGUUCAAGAUGACUUAAACAUUGCUGAGGAAGAACCUACACACAAGGCUCCACAUCAUCCCCUGCUGAACCUCCACCCUUGACGGAAGUUCAGGCCAAGGAUAAAACACUCCCGAUAUGUGAGGUUCAAGUCUCCGUUUUGAAACUUAAUUAAUGAUUGAGGUUCAGGCCCAUGAGGAACCCUCUUCUGAAAUUCUCUUCAUAAUAUUGUUAAUUGGUUCAACCAGUUGAACCAAUUAGCAAUAUUAAAGAGAAAUCUGAAGACCUUUGCACCAAGAAGAAAAAAGAAGAAAGAAAAACAGCUUCUUCUGAAUGCUCUUAAAAACUGUGCUGUUGCUGCAUAAGUGCCACAAAAACUGAUUGAUUGUCCUUAAGAUAAAUAAAAAAAAAAACACUAAAAUUAGUACUACAGCAAAGAUAAAAUUGGGAAAAGAUGACUUGUUUCAGCCCCUUUUUCUCUCCAUCCACUGUCCCUUUUGUCCCUCGUAGUUG
This is a long non-coding RNA of Oreochromis aureus, 997 nucleotides long. RefSeq lists it as uncharacterized. Lineage: Eukaryota; Metazoa; Chordata; Actinopteri; Cichliformes; Cichlidae. The transcript has 3 exons. The record is from RefSeq and is a predicted model, not a curated record.